Molecule: ribosomal RNA, 253 nt
Filed under: uncultured bacterium
Lineage: Bacteria
Description: partial 16S ribosomal RNA
Rfam family: Archaeal small subunit ribosomal RNA
Source: RNAcentral
UACCCGCAGCACAAGUGGUGGCCAUUAUUAUUGGGCCUAAAGCGUCCGUAGCUGGCUUGUUAGAUGCCUGGGUAAAUCGAUGCGCUCAACGUAUCGAAUUCCGGGUAGACCGGCAAGCUUGGGACCGGGAGAGGCAUGGGCUACUCGCGGGGUAGGGGUAAAAUCCUGUAAUCCUGCGGGGAGGACCAGUGGCGAAGGCGCCAUGCUAGAACGGCUCUGACAGUGAGGGACGAAGCCCUGGGGCGCAAACCGG